This 388-nucleotide ribosomal RNA is filed under the name Euduboscquella sp. RNAcentral's name for it is "partial small subunit ribosomal RNA". It matches the Rfam family "Eukaryotic small subunit ribosomal RNA", at positions 587 to 975 of the family's 1831-position model. The record is from RNAcentral. Lineage: Eukaryota; Dinophyceae; Syndiniales; Eudubosquellidae.
AGCUCCAAUAGCGUAUAUUAAAAUUGUUGCGGUUAAAACGCUCGUAGUUGGAUACCUGCCUAGGAGGCCCCGGUGCGCCCCAGUUGGUGUUUACGCGGUCGGCCAUACCUUGGCGCUUGCUCGGGAAAACGCGGUUGCACUUCAUUGUGUGUCGCGUGACUUGGGCUUUUACUUUGAGGAAAUGAGAGUGUUUCAAGCAGGCAAUUGCCGUGAAUACGAUAGCAUGGAAUAAUAGCACGGGACCCCGUUCCAACGCUGUUGGUUUGUGGAACGAGGUAACUAGAACAAGGAUAGUCGGGGGUAUUCGUAUUUAACUGUCAGAGGUGAAAUUCUUGGAUUUUUUAAAGACGAACUAUUGCGAAGGCAUCUGCCCAGGAUGUUUUUGUUG